This 243-nucleotide ribosomal RNA is filed under the name uncultured bacterium. RNAcentral describes it as "partial 16S ribosomal RNA". It matches the Rfam family "Bacterial small subunit ribosomal RNA", at positions 532 to 774 of the family's 1533-position model. The record is from RNAcentral.
GAGCAAGCGUUAUCCGGAAUUAUUGGGAGUAAAGGGUGCGUAGACGGGAAGACAAGUUAUUUGUGAAAUCCCUCGGCUUAACUGAGGAACUGCAACUAAAACUAUCAUUCUUGAGUGCAGGAGAGGAAAGUGGAAUUCCUAGUGUAGCGGUGAAAUGCGUAGAUAUUAGGAGGAACACCAGUGGCGAAGGCGACUUUCUGGACUGUAACUGACGUUGAGGCACGAAGGUGUGGGGAGCAAACA